This 482-nucleotide ribosomal RNA is filed under the name uncultured bacterium. RNAcentral's name for it is "partial 16S ribosomal RNA". It matches the Rfam family "Bacterial small subunit ribosomal RNA", at positions 30 to 507 of the family's 1533-position model. The record is from RNAcentral.
AUUGAACGCUGGCGGCAUGCCUUACACAUGCAAGUCGAACGGUAACAGGUCUUCGGAUGCUGACGAGUGGCGAACGGGUGAGUAAUACAUCGGAACGUGCCCAGACGUGGGGGAUAACGAGGCGAAAGCUUUGCUAAUACCGCAUACGAUCUAAGGAUGAAAGCAGGGGACCGCAAGGCCUUGUGCGUUUGGAGCGGCCGAUGGCAGAUUAGGUAGUUGGUGGGAUAAAAGCUUACCAAGCCGACGAUCUGUAGCUGGUCUGAGAGGACGACCAGCCACACUGGGACUGAGACAUGGCCCAGACUCCUACGGGAGGCAGCAGUGGGGAAUUUUGGACAAUGGGCGAAAGCCUGAUCCAGCAAUGCCGCGUGCAGGAUGAAGGCCUUCGGGUUGUAAACUGCUUUUGUACGGAAAGAAAAGGCUCUGGCUAAUACCUGGGGCACAUGACGGUACCGUAAGAAUAAGCACCGGCUAACUACGUG